AGAAGGCUCCCUUAGCCCAGGUCUAGGAUCUUGGAGCCUGUCUGUGAGGUUAAGCACCGAGGGCCCAGAAGUGGGGAUGGCUCUUGCAGAAAAAGAGAGAUCUCGGCUGUGAUAAAAAGGGGAAGAGAUGAUCAAACGCAUAAUUACAACUCAUGAUGUCUCCUGAGCCAGAGGUCCCAGCAUGCUUUGCAGCUAGACUCGGCCAAGUUAUGACACAUUCACACUUCCCUGAAAAAGAAAAAAGGGCAGCAAUAUAGCUUCUGGAGACGAUAUCUAUCCUGUACCCUUGAGGAAGCUCACUACGUUUUGGAAGACAGUAUUCCUGGGAAGACUAUGAGAAUAUCUGAAGUCAGGACUACAUUCUGAUUUGGACUCCUAGUGUUUUCAGAAAUCUUAAAGAACAUCUCUGAGCGCUAAACUGUACAAAGUUGCUGGCAGAGGACACUCUGGCCUUCUGGAACAUAGACAAGAGCUCACUGUUUUGAAUGGAAAUAUAUCUCGCUUUCAGUAUGCUUUCCCCAAAAACUUUCAGAGAUGAGAACUGAACCUAUAUAUCAAAUUUUGUUGUUUGGUUUUUUUGUGUAGAUAAUAAAUGUUUAAUUAACUA
RNAcentral lists this long non-coding RNA (607 nucleotides) under Mus musculus (house mouse). RNAcentral's name for it is "RIKEN cDNA 9130015L21 gene (9130015L21Rik)". Lineage: Eukaryota; Metazoa; Chordata; Mammalia; Rodentia; Muridae. The record is from RNAcentral.